CAUUUAAACAGAGUUAACAUAUUGCACAGAAAUUUCUGUGAUCGACAAUCCCACAUCCAGACCUUGUGCCUUUCAUGUCAGAAUAAUGUCAUGGAGUACAAAGGUUCUGAGUUCAGUUCCUAGGCAAAUGAAGAGAGGCUGCCUCCAUGCUCUUCAUCACAAAAAAUAUCCAGUAUCUAAAACUCUUGCUUUCCCAUGCUGUUACAAACACACCCAGGACUGAGUGGCUACAUUUUUACUGGCAACAGAAGAGUAAGUUCAGCGAAGAGCAAGCUCAAUGCUUGGAAUAAGCACUGGCUCGAGUGAACACAUACCCCAAGCUGAAUCCUCUGGGUGUCAGGAGCUGCUGGCCAAGGACCAGUGGGAGUAGGGAGAGGCUGCAGGCUCUGACCGCAGUGAGGAGUCUGGGAGGAAGAGAAGACAUCUUGAGCAUCUGGCUUUGCUACACCCGGAAAACUCUACCCAGAGUCCAGAGACCAUCCCCACAACUUUGCUUUAUCUGGAAAUCUCAUUGCUUAACCCAUCAUCCAAGGAAAACAGCCCAGGCAGUGGAAAAUUACAGUUUUCCAAUAAGAGAGACCAACCACAGCUCUGUCGCCUUCAUUUCAGAACAAGCAUACAUGUCACACGGGAAGAGAAAUGCCGGCAGGAUCUAGAAGUCGCCCAAUACCAUUGAAAAGAGAUGACAGAAGGGCAUCAAGACAAUUUCCAAG
This 713-nucleotide long non-coding RNA is filed under the name Equus asinus (donkey). Its description in RNAcentral is "lncRNA (ENSEASG00005025136.1)". Lineage: Eukaryota; Metazoa; Chordata; Mammalia; Perissodactyla; Equidae. The record is from RNAcentral.